This 81-nucleotide transfer RNA is filed under the name Eutypa lata UCREL1. RNAcentral's name for it is "tRNA-Ser (CGA) (tRNA-Ser-CGA-1-1)". It matches the Rfam family "tRNA". From Rfam's summary of the family: Transfer RNA (tRNA) molecules are approximately 80 nucleotides in length. Their secondary structure includes four short double-helical elements and three loops (D, anti-codon, and T loops). Further hydrogen bonds mediate the characteristic L-shaped molecular structure. tRNAs have two regions of fundamental functional importance: the anti-codon, which is responsible for specific mRNA codon recognition, and the 3' end, to which the tRNAs corresponding amino acid is attached (by aminoacyl-tRNA synthetases). tRNAs cope with the degeneracy of the genetic code in two manners: having more than one tRNA (with a specific anti-codon) for a particular amino acid; and 'wobble' base-pairing, i.e. permitting non-standard base-pairing at the 3rd anti-codon position. Lineage: Eukaryota; Fungi; Ascomycota; Sordariomycetes; Xylariales; Diatrypaceae. The record is from RNAcentral.
GGCACGAUGGUAGAGUGGUUAAUACGUAAGACUCGAAAUCUUAUUCCUUCGGGAGCGCAGGUUCAAGUCCUGCUCGUGUCG